CUCUGGAGCGUGACUCUGAAUGGGCAGCUCUGAAAAAGGUGGCAGUUAGUUCCUACAGAUUAUUCCCCUUACAGAUAAGAAUAGAUUUUUCCUUAAGCAUGGUAAUAUUGGUCCUCAAAACCACUAGAUCCUAAAGGAAUACAUGGAUAUAUAUGGCCACUUCAGAAGGGGAAAUGUUUCUGACCCUGUGGUUGCAUGCUCUGCAAGCUCAGGCUGUGUCUGGCUGGCCCCACUGAUCUCCCCCACGAUCCUAGAUUACAAAUUUCUGUGCCUGUCAUAAUCCACAUACUAUCGUUUGUUUCAUGGGUAGUAUUAUUUAUUCUUUAAUACAGGUGGUUGACUGAUGCUAUACAUUUAAAAUGACUAGAUAAAUUAAAAAGAACCAGGUACAUAUUAAUAAUUAUUUUGUGUUGUAUCUAAACUUGUAUAGACUGUUGCACUGCCUGAGCUAACUGCAAUAGCACUGUUUUAGUCAGUAAUUUCCUGAAAGGAUUUGGGACUCUGAAUCUCAAUGGUAAGGAUGAAAGUCUGUGAAAAUGGGAGUUUCACAUACAAUCAGAUUUUUUUUUUUUGUGGUAAAUUUAUGUAAAGCAAAUAUUAUAAACUUCUAUCCAAAGUUUCUUCUUUCUUGUCUGUUAUAGAAGGAAAUAGCUACAGAAUUCAAUGCACUUAUACACUUAAAAAUUUGGAGAUGGGAAUCCAAUUUAUUAUCCAUGCAGAAAUUUUGUUCCCAAUUUUCUGUUUUUGAUCAUGUCCAAAGCUCUUCCACUCGAUUUGUGACUGAUAUCUUCAUUAAGCUCAAGAGUGCAAUAGUAAGAGAGACUGCUGCCUUAAAAGGUUCCUUGGCACUGUUUUUUCCAUGCAUGGAAGGACAUCUGGUAUGACCAUUGGAAAAGAAAGCAAGCGUGCUUUGCUCUGGGUGGCCUCAUCCUUACUGCCUUUGAACUGCUUUCUACAGGUUUUGGUGGCAAAACAGUACCAGCUGAUGAUGAUAUGGCAUGACAUGGAUGCCCACUGGACACGGGCUGCAUCAGAUGGCUUAUUUCACGUGGUGUAUCAGUUAUGCUCCAGCUCUGGACUUACUGUUCUCCACGGAUUGAACACAGAGAGGAUUCAGACUCUAACACCAACAGAGCAUACCUUUCCUUGUCUCUGGAUGUCAGUCUGACAGCAGAAUAACUUUAGGAGUGUUAACGUGAUGUCACUGAGUUUGAACAGCAGCAAAGCUGAGACCCAAAGACAGAAAUAUGCAGUCUGUCUCAGGACGUGCUGAGACAUUCCCCUGCAGCUGUAUGAGCUAUCAGCUCAUCUCACUCUUUCACCAGAGACAACCUCUGAGAGGUAACUUUGCCUUCAGACUUCAGUCGUGUAUCGUCUGCUCUCAGCCAGUGUCAGAAGGCCCAGAGCUCUCUGCCUGUCUUCUGGGAGCAUCGAUCCACUCACCACAGCUCAGCACAACAUAUGAAGCCUUUCCUUCCCUUGCACAUGUGUUCUCUCUCUUUUGAAGGAAAAAAAAAGAAAAAAAAAAAAGAAAAAAAAAAAAAAGCUGUCAGUAUUUCAGAAGCUCUGAGCAGCAGAUCUUUGUGUACUUUAAUCCAUAAAUAAACAUUUCUUCUUUUGAACUUCA
This 1627-nucleotide long non-coding RNA is filed under the name Chrysolophus pictus (golden pheasant). Its description in RNAcentral is "lncRNA (ENSCPIG00010003475.1)". Lineage: Eukaryota; Metazoa; Chordata; Aves; Galliformes; Phasianidae. The record is from RNAcentral.